CACCCUGACAUUUUAUAAUGACCUCUCAAAGCCUACUAUGCUACGGAGGCAAACCAUGCGCCCGGUCACCAGUGUGCUGAGGCAGAGAAAGACACCAUACCGCUGGAGCACACCACGCUCCCUCCAGGUCACUGUGGAGGGGAAUGUCCAUACGCUACACUCACCAGCAGAGGGCAAACUGUUUCUAACCCAGCAUGGCAUCACCACACAGACGGAACCAGGGAAGCGCAGCUCACGGACACAGCAGUGGGAUGUGGAGAACAUCACCUUGUUCGAACCACGAGGUCCCUGCACAUCCACAGCGGACCCAGGAGACUAAAACCCAGAGACUGUUGGCACGGGACAU
Non-coding RNA from Pelobates cultripes (western spadefoot toad), 346 nucleotides. The record is from the annotation of a GenBank genome assembly. NCBI's taxonomy places the organism in Eukaryota, Metazoa, Chordata, Amphibia, Anura, Pelobatidae.